UGGCGGACGGGUGAGUAACACGUGGGUAACCUGCCUCAUACAGGGGGAUAACAGUUGGAAACGGCUGCUAAUACCGCAUAAGCGCACAGUACCGCAUGGUACGGUGUGAAAAACUCCGGUGGUGUGAGAUGGAUCCGCGUCUGAUUAGCCAGUUGGCGGGGUAACGGCCCACCAAAGCGACGAUCAGUAGCCGACCUGAGAGGGUGACCGGCCACAUUGGGACUGAGACACGGCCCAA
RNAcentral lists this ribosomal RNA (238 nucleotides) under uncultured bacterium. Its description in RNAcentral is "partial 16S ribosomal RNA". It matches the Rfam family "Bacterial small subunit ribosomal RNA", at positions 96 to 334 of the family's 1533-position model. The record is from RNAcentral.